AAUAGAUACCCCGGUAGUCCACGCCGUAAACGAUGGAUGCUAGCUAUUGGGGGGAAUCGACCCCCUCCGAAGCGAAGCUAACGCGUUAAGCAUCCCGCCUGAGUAGUACGAGCGCAAGCUUAAAACUCAAAGGAAUUGACGGGGACCCGCACAAGCGGUGGAGCGUGUGGUUUAAUUCGAUGGUAAACGAGGAACCUUACCAAGGUUUGACAUCCCGGUAGCCGUUCUCCGAAAGGAGAAUUUCAUUUAGUUGGACCGGUGACAGGUGAUGCAUGGCCGUCGUCAGCUCGUGUCGUGAGAUGUUGGGUUAAGUCCCGCAACGAGCGCAACCCUUAUGAUUUAGUUGGAUUUUUCUAAACAGACUGCCCUGGUAACAGGGAGGAAGGAGGGGAUGAUGUCAGGUCAGUAUUUCCCUUACACCUUGGGCGACACACGCGCUACAAUGGCCGGUACAAUGGGCAGCUAAGCCGCGAGGUGGAGCAAAUCCCAUCAAAGCCGGUCCCAGUUCGGAUUGCAGGCUGAAACCCGCCUGCAUGAAGCCGGAAUCGCUAGUAACC
RNAcentral lists this ribosomal RNA (557 nucleotides) under uncultured bacterium. RNAcentral's name for it is "bacterial SSU rRNA". It matches the Rfam family "Bacterial small subunit ribosomal RNA", at positions 777 to 1343 of the family's 1533-position model. The record is from RNAcentral.